Molecule: ribosomal RNA, 500 nt
Filed under: uncultured bacterium
Lineage: Bacteria
Description: partial 16S ribosomal RNA
Rfam family: Bacterial small subunit ribosomal RNA
Source: RNAcentral
AUUGAACGCUGGCGGCAGGCCUAACACAUGCAAGUCGAGCGGAUGAGGGGUGCUUGCACUCUGAUUCAGCGGCGGACGGGUGAGUAAUGCCUAGGAAUCUGCCCGAUAGUGGGGGACAACGUUUCGAAAGGAACGCUAAUACCGCAUACGUCCUACGGGAGAAAGUGGGGGAUCUUCGGACCUCACGCUAUCGGAUGAGCCUAGGUCGGAUUAGCUAGUUGGUGAGGUAAUGGCUCACCAAGGCUACGAUCCGUAACUGGUCUGAGAGGAUGAUGAGGCACACUGGAACUGGGACACGGUCCAGACUCCUACGGGAGGCAGCAGUGGGGAAUAUUGGACGAUGGGCGAAAGCCUAAUCCAGCCAUGCCGCGUGUGUGAAGAAGGUCUUCGGAUUGUAAAGCACUUUAAGUUGGGAGGAAGGGCUGUAGGCUAAUAUCCUGCAGUUUUGACGUUACCAACAGAAUAAGCGCCGGCUAACUUCGUGCCAGCAGCCGCGGUAA